UAGACUUCAUUUGCGGACAUGC
RNAcentral lists this non-coding RNA (22 nucleotides) under Arabidopsis thaliana (thale cress). The record is from RNAcentral. Lineage: Eukaryota; Viridiplantae; Streptophyta; Magnoliopsida; Brassicales; Brassicaceae.